Molecule: long non-coding RNA, 1868 nt
Organism: Daphnia pulicaria
Lineage: Eukaryota; Metazoa; Arthropoda; Branchiopoda; Diplostraca; Daphniidae
Exons: 5
Source: RefSeq, a predicted model, not a curated record
AACUAAACUUUUUAUUACGCUUGACACCAAACGUAAGCCCAAUGCCCCAAUCCUUUGUUCGAGAACCGUCUGCUUGUCGAACAAAUGAUUGAACCUACGUUAUUCACCCAGGGUGAAUCAAUAAUUUUAAUAAUUUAAUUAAUCAGUAAUUCACCCAGGGUGAAUCACAGCUCCGUGGCCGUAACUGUAGAAGGCUAUGGCCUUGAUGGUGGUUGAUCAUUCGGUUCAAAAGAUUGAAUUAUAUUGAAAGUUAAAUGAACAAGCUUCCUGAUUGUAAUGAUUUUGUUUUGGAAUUCCACUGUUGCCAAAAUAUCUUCUGCUACUACCUCUACCAUUAUCAAAUCUUUUAUCACUUACUUAUCAAUGGACUAAAGCACCAGUUUCAACAGAUUUAGAAACAGAAAGGUGAUGUAAUUACGAUCAAUUGAGUUCGACUGUAUCAUCACAAAGUGAAGCAUCUAUCCAGAUGUCGUUCAAGAUUUUCUUUUUCAUCACAAAUUUUCAUCACGGCCCCAAGAAUAAUUCGCCUGCUGGGAUCUACAGGUUCUACCCAUUGACUAAAGUAAUCCUCUGUUUCUGGCUGAGUGAAUGUCUCGUUUUCCCGCAGAAACGGCCCCAAAUUGUUGAGCGAAUUCGCUUUGUAAGUUCAAACCCUCUACGCAUGUCCAGCUGAGAAGAAAUGUCUUCCGAAGCUGGCAACAUGGGCAUGGAUGGUCACAGAGGACUGAAGAUAGUUUGGAUUUUGGAACUUCAGGUUACUACUAAGUAUUUUUUCCCGAGAGGAACGCAAAAGCUGCUGCUAGAAGGUCACCUCAUCUUUCUCGACUUAAGGGCAGACUUUUAGGGACUUUGGGAUCUGGAAGUAAACAUCUGGAGUAAAUUCAGAUUGAAUUGUUGAGAAAUCUGGUCAAUCGGUUCAUCCAUCAAAUUGGCCUAGAAGAGGGAAUUCCUGAUGGAUUUGGUCGUAGACAUUUAUUUUUUUUAUUUUUUAUGUUUAUGGGUGGGGCACUGAAGAAGACAUCUGGCGGCAAGAUUUGUCUUCAAUUGUUGGCGCGUAGACUUUGGCCCUACCUCCUACCUUCUUCCUGGUUCCCUAUUAGUUGAAGCGUAUGUUUCGAGAGGUAAGGGACGUUAUUGUCGUUUGUUGGGGCUUGGGGGUUUUUAUGCUAGCUACAUUGCUUGAUGGAUGUAUUUCUACCUGUGAUGAUGGUAAGCGUGAUUAAUUUUGGUUUUGACGCAGAGUAACCCGGAGUAACCUCGAGAGUGUUAAGUGCCUUUUUGGAUUUGAAAACCGUGCUGUUCCACAUGUCCAGAAGCUGAGUGAAUGGCACCUUUAAAAUAUGGAACUUCACUUCAGCCUUCCAAUCUAGGACUUGUAUCUAAUUGUGCAGGCUGCGUGGAAUUCUCAUUUACCUUUGCUGUGAAUGUCAAUUGGAUGUACACUCAUUGAAGGCUAGUAAGGUGAAUAUUUUCAGUUUAUCUAAAAAAUGAAAUGUGUUGAGUUGGAAGAAAAACUUAAAUUUUCAGCAACAAAGCUUUGCUUUGGUUUAGUUUGGACAUUUUGGAGUUUCAUCAAGUUAAGAACUUUUUUUUAAAAAUUGUAUUUUCUUUUUGGGUUGUAAAAGGGAAAUUUGUUUUUCCCAAGAUAGGUUGACAGAAAGGAUAUUUGUCACUGUAGAGUUGAAAGAAUUUGUAUUUAAAAAGGAAAAGUUAUCUAGUUUCAUGUAAAUUUGUGUUCAAUGACAGGUAUCAGAUAAUGUUGCAGUAGAAUGUUUGGGUUAAUUCUAUAUGAAACAACAUAAGGUAGCAUUAAUUUUUUUUUUGUUAAUUGUGUUCUCAUAGUCCUGUUCAAUCCACCAAUUUGGCCU